UGAAAGUGGCGCACGGGUGCGUAACACGUAUGCAACCUACCUUAUACAGGGGGAUAGCCCGGGGAAACCCGGAUUAAUACCCCAUGGUAUAGACGAAUCGCAUGAUUUGUUUAUUAAAGAUUUAUCGGUAUAAGAUGGGCAUGCGUCUGAUUAGCUAGUUGGCGGUGUAACGGACCACCAAGGCUACGAUCAGUAGGGGUUCUGAGAGGAAGGUCCCCCACACUGGCACUGAGAUACGGGCCAGACUCCUACGGGAGGCAGCAGUAGGGAAUAUUGGGCAAUGGACGAGAGUCUGACCCAGCCAUGCCGCGUGCAGGAAGACGGCCUAUUGGGUUGUAAACUGCUUUUAUACGGGAAGAAAAGGCCCAUGCGUGGGACAUUGCCGGUACCGUAUGAAUAAGCACCGGCUAACUCCGUGCCAGCAGGCGCGGUAAUACGGAGGGUGCAAGCGUUGUCCGGAUUUAUUGGGUUUAAAGGGUGCGUAGGCGGCUGAUUAAGUCAGCGGUGAAAGACUUCGGCUCAACCGGAGCAGUGCCGUUGAUACUGGUUAGCUUGAGUAUUGGAGGGGUACAUGGAAUUGAUGGUGUAGCGGUGAAAUGCAUAGAUACCAUCAGGAACACCGAUAGCGAAGGCAUUGUACUGGCCAAUAACUGACGCUGAUGG
RNAcentral lists this ribosomal RNA (663 nucleotides) under Algoriphagus faecimaris. RNAcentral's name for it is "bacterial SSU rRNA". It matches the Rfam family "Bacterial small subunit ribosomal RNA", at positions 90 to 752 of the family's 1533-position model. The record is from RNAcentral. Lineage: Bacteria; Pseudomonadati; Bacteroidota; Cytophagia; Cytophagales; Cyclobacteriaceae.